UGUUUUUUCCAUAACCAGUGUUGUGAACCGAGUGUUGUGUUGUUGACCUCUUAAGAAAAACAAACAAUUUUCUGUCAUUUUACGAUGUUAAAGCACAAUAGUUUGUUUUAUUUGUGAGGUGUGUGUGUGCGAAAUAAUGAAUUCUUUACUCUUUAUUGGAAACCCUUUUGCUGUUCAGUGAGUUCAACAUGUCUGAGUUUUAUCCUAAUCCAACAGCUCUGCCACCUGGUUUGGAGGACCUUACACAAAAUGUAAGCAAACAGUUGCCAGUCCCAAGUGACUUCAGUAUGGAGGAAUCUAUGGAAGUCAUGGGAACCAGAAACUGUUUGGUUCCCAACAUUCUUCAAAAUAUCAACUUUGAGUUCAGAAGAAAGAGAUCCAUACAAGUUUGGAACAAACUGAUGGUGACCAAGUGAUUGACCAGAUAUUGGCCCAUCAAAAGAUUGAGCUCCUUGAAGCAAUCAUUGGCUUUGAGACCAAUAACCAGUAUGAGAUUAAGAACAGCAUGGGUCAAAAGAUCUUCCAUGCUAAAGAAAACAAUGACUGCUGCACACGGAAC
Molecule: long non-coding RNA, 559 nt
Organism: Carassius gibelio (silver crucian carp)
Lineage: Eukaryota; Metazoa; Chordata; Actinopteri; Cypriniformes; Cyprinidae
Exons: 4
Source: RefSeq, a predicted model, not a curated record